UACUGGAUUGUUUUUAUGUGGAAGUUUGAUUAGUUUUUGAAAUUAUUAGUGCCGAAACUACAUUAAAAAUGAUGAGCUUUUUAUUUUUGAAGUGUGUUUAAUGCUUUGUGCUCAAAUUGCAAUAAAAACUCUUUGGUUUAAAUUCAAGCGUCUCUAAAUUCAGUGGCGUCAGCAAAGUGUGAGGUUAUAUUUUGCGUUUUUCUUUCUCAUAAACAAUUUACUAGGAGUUCUAUUUAUUUUUAAUUUUACUGAAAUAAGUGUCUAAAGGGCGAUAUUUUGCAAUAAUGGAAUUUACUCAACCACAAAUAGCGGCCUUAGUUUUGGGUUACCUCAAAAGUGAAAAAUUAUACUCAGUGAUUGACGAAUUCCUCAAAAACUGUCCCUAUUUUACCGAAAACAACCAAAAUAUCAAAAUGGGAAAAUAUUUUGUUACUCGUGUGUCUGGAAUGCGUCUUGUUGAUUUUCUUGAAGAGUAUGCUAUGAUUUACUCAAUUGUUCAAGGCCGACUUGAGGAGACCAAUUACUACGAGACACAUAGCAGAACUUCACUGGUUGAUCAAAUUAUGUUCUUGUUGGAUAAAGAAACGGGAACUGUGGCCACUUCAACCCCCGUGAUAAGUUCAAGUGUUGGUAGCGAAGUAGACACGACGCCAGCACACACUCUACCUGGGAAUAAUUCCGAAGAAAAUGAACCUGCAAUUACUAAAACACCAAAGAAGAAAUCUACAAGAAAUAAAAGCAAAGAUAAAGAGGAGAUUAUGGAUGUUUCUGAGGUUUUAACUCAAACUUUGUUAGAAAAUCACGAAUUGCAUGAGAAAAUUGCUGAAACUAUUAACAUAGUCAGGAAUACGCCUGAAACUGGCAGAAAUACCACAGAAGAACAUGUCAGUGCUGGUGCGGCGAAAGAACUGGACGCUAUUAUUAAAACAGUGGUGCAAAGGACUGAAGAAGACCCGGUGUACAAUAAACUAAUAGAUGAGAUUAUCGGAACGCCCCCUUUUGACAACCAAUCAAAAAAAUCCACUAGCUCCGCCCACCAUGCUGACAAAAGUGGGGACCCAAUGGACGCCCAUACCAAUGACGCCGUGCGUUCCAUAAUCGAGGCGGCACAAAACACAGACCCGCCUCCUCCCGAACCCCCAAAACCGCAAAAUGGGGGCGAGGUGUACCUUUUUGAUGGCACCCUCGACUCUUAUCUGAAAUCGUCAGGGGCUGCGCCCCCAAUGGCCCCAAACCCGCUUUAUUUCAACACAGGAGGGGGGCUCCUAAUAAUGCCCCCUGAAGCCGCACCUAAGCAAUAUUACAUCGUUAAUAAUCAACCAAUGAUAAACGUGAACGUGCCAACAGUAAAAAACAUAACAGAGAAUGACAUAAUGGCAAUGCCUACUAUAAUUGUUAACGAUGAAAGUUGUACCAACUUUACGAAUCAAACAAUUGUCGCAGAUAAUCCGAAAAAGUGUACGAAACUGAUCAAACCCAAAGCGACGACGAAAAUUACCGAGGCCCCGCCCACGUUCACAAGCCCCUCCUCCAAGGCCGCCUCUCACGUACGCAAUCUUGAUUUUUCAACGCCAGGGUCGAAAAUCAACGGGAAGAAAGGAGCAAAGAAGAAGGCUUGGGAUUCGGAUUUAAGGAAUUUGGUGUUAGGUUGUGUCAAUAGAACCCCCACUCCUAAGAAAAAACGAACAGUUGCGACGAAGAAAAACCCUAAACCGAAGUCACAACCUAGCAAGGUUGAAAAGGAGGAAAAGCCUGAGGAGAAGGAGGAAAAAACUGAGGAGAAGGAGGAAAAAACUAAAGAGAAGGAGGAAAAAACUGAAGAGAAGAAAGAGUCAACAACUAUGCAAACUCCGGUCAAAGACACAAUCCCGAAAACUCCGGGUCCGGUCUCUAAUACAAACUGUUGCACGCCAUUUUCGCAGGUUUUGGAGGAGCAGCUCCAGGGCGUCGAUUUAAUAUCAAUGCCUACCCCCAAAAUCCCGAUUACGCCCGGAUUUGCCUUGACUCCGGGCGAUUUAGGUCCUUAUAAUCAGCGUUCAACUGAUUAUUCAACAUCUAGUUCGUACUACCAACCUUCCGACACUGAACAAAACAAGUCCCUAGACCAGUUGAUAGAAGAGUGCAAAAGACUGGAAAAUAACAAGUCACCGCCUCCUGAGAAGCACACAAAUUUGAAAAUCUUGAGCGAUGUUGUGAUCGAGCAAGCCAAGGUUGUAACCGAACCGGAAAAACCGCAAACCACUUUGAAAAAAUUCAACCAGAGUGUGAUUGGUAAGAAAAAUUUGAAUCUUCUGAAACGUCAUCCCACGAGUUCGAGUUCGUCGGAUUCGGAUUCGGAUUCAGAUUCGCCCGAACAUACUGUCAUCGAAAAGACUGAUGUUAAAGAAACUGAAACUUCUAGUAUUAAUAACAUAAUCAAUGAGGUUCCAGUGAAGGAUACUCUAGAUGAGGAAGCGCGCAAAAAGGACAUUUUAACCCAGCUAGAAAUCGUGCGAAAACGCACAAUUGACAAAAUCAAAAACCCGCCAAAAGCGGCCAGAAAACCGCGGACUAGCCGGAAAACUGCGAAAACACCGAAAGUAGGGAGACGGAAAAGUGUGAAGAAGGAGGCAGUGGAGGAUGCGGAAGCGCAAAAGUUGAUUCAUGGGUUGGCCGAAAGAGGGAUUCACUUGGUUCAAAAUAAAUCGCCUCAAAAAGUGAACCAAGAGGAGUGUUUGGAUAGUCCUAAAUCGGACUCAUCUGGUCCAAACUUUGAUAAAAAAAUAUACCAAGAUUUGGAAUCCGUGGUUCAUUCUGAUAAGAUAAAGAGGAAAGCUUUAAACAAGUACAAUUUUGAGAUUUUGAAGAAGAGUAUGUCGGCGCAAGUUUUCGACGAAUUGGAUAAAGAAGUGACAAUGAUCAUAAAGUGGACCCCUUUUGAGUCCAUUUUUGAGCUCAAACCCCGAGCGAAAGCCUCAACGCCGAAGAAGAGACUCGACGAUGAGGAUGACGAACUUAUGGACUAUGUUUUUUUGGCCGAUGUGAGGGAUAGUUCGCCCGAAAAGGGGACCAAGGGGGGUAGGAAGAGGAAGCUGAAGAAUAGCGAGAGUGAGAAACAGACGGAAAAGAAAGCGAAAGCUUUUGAGAAUAAUUUAAAACUUUUGAAGAAAAUUGACGUUGAUUCGUUUCUUGAUAAAGUACAUGGCGAGUGACUUUUAUGUAUAGAAGUUUGAGUUAGUUUAGAAGUUUUAAGAUGAGUACGAUUUUUUAUUGUACAUUUGCAGUUCUUCCCAAAAAUGUGAUCUUCAAAUAACUUGAAUAAUUCGUAAAUGUUUGUUUAGAAACUCCGAAAUUAAAAUCGUAGUGAUUUAAAAAUUUUUUGACAAUUUGAAUUGUCAGGUAGGUACCAAUCGACAUGCUAUAAAUACAAAAUUCCCUAAAUAGCAAGAUUUUUCAAGUCGAUUUAUUAUUUUUAUUGAAAAAAUGAAGGUAAUGUGAAAAUGUGUUGCAGAUUUCAUUAUAUAAAUAUUAGAGAAAAUUCUACUUACUUUGUGUUUUGAUUUUUUAACUAGUUUAAACUGAAUAUUAUUUACAGGAAAAAUGUAACAUUUCGAAUACUCUUUUAUUGAAUAAUAAUUACGAUAGCUUA
Molecule: RNA transcript, 3628 nt
Organism: Tribolium madens (black flour beetle)
Lineage: Eukaryota; Metazoa; Arthropoda; Insecta; Coleoptera; Tenebrionidae
Exons: 6
Source: RefSeq, a predicted model, not a curated record